This 1722-nucleotide small RNA is filed under the name Pongo abelii (Sumatran orangutan). RNAcentral describes it as "retained intron". The record is from RNAcentral. Lineage: Eukaryota; Metazoa; Chordata; Mammalia; Primates; Hominidae.
UAGCAGUGGAGGCGAGCGGAGGAUUUGCCGCGGCGGGUUUCUGACAGUCAGACUUGUCCACAGGAACUCAACUGGCAAGGCUGCUUUUUUGUGCUAAAACUGGGGAGCUAGUGGGCACCAUGAAGAUCUUCUGCAGUCGGGCCAAUCCGACCACGGGGUCUGUGGAGUGGCUGGAGGAGGAUGAACACUAUGAUUUCCACCAGGAGAUUGCAAGGUCAUCCUAUGCAGAUAUGCUACAUGACAAAGACAGAAAUGUAAAAUACUACCAAGGUAUCCGGGCUGCUGUGAGCAGGGUGAAGGACAGAGGACAGAAGGCCUUGGUUCUCGACAUUGGCACUGGCACGGGACUCUUGUCAAUGAUGGCGGUCACAGCAGGCGCCGACUUCUGCUAUGCCAUCGAGGUUUUCAAGCCUAUGGCUGAUGCUGCUGUGAAGAUUGUGGAGAAAAAUGGCUUUAGUGAUAAGAUUAAGGUUAUCAACAAGCAUUCCACCGAGGUGACUGUAGGUCCAGAGGGUGACAUGCCAUGCCGUGCCAACAUCCUGGUCACAGAGUUGUUUGACACAGAGCUGAUCGGGGAGGGGGCGCUACCCUCCUAUGAGCACGCACACAGGCAUCUCGUGGAGGAAAAUUGUGAGGCCGUGCCCCACAGAGCCACCGUCUAUGCACAGCUGGUGGAGUCCAGGAGGAUGUGGUCGUGGAACAAGCUGUUUCCCAUCCGCGUGCAGACCAGCCUCGGAGAGCAGGUCAUCGUCCCUCCCGUGGACCUGGAGAGCUGCCCUGGCGCACCCUCUGUCUGUGACAUUCAGCUGAACCAGGUGUCACCAGCGGACUUUACAGUCCUCAGCGAUGUGCUGCCCAUGUUCAGCAUAGACUUCAGCAAGCAAGUCAGUAGCUCAGCAGCCUGCCAUAGCAGGCAGUUUGAACCUUGGACAUCUGGCCGAGCUCAGGUGGUUCUCUCAUGGUGGGACAUUGAAAUGGACCCUGAGGGGAAGAUCAAGUGCACCAUGGCCCCCUUCUGGGCACACUCAGACCCAGAGGAGAUGCAGUGGCGGGACCACUGGAUGCAGUGUGUGUACUUCCUGCCACAAGAGGAGCCUGUGGUGCAGGGCUCAGCGCUCUUUCUGGUAGCCCACCACGAUGACUACUGCGUAUGGUACAGCCUGCAGAGGACCAGCCCUGAAAAGAAUGAGAGAGUCCACCAGAUGCGCCCCGUGUGCGACUGCCAGGCUCACCUGCUCUGGAACCGGCCUCGGUUUGGAGAGAUCAAUGACCAGGACAGAACUGAUCGAUAUGUCCAGGCUCUGAGGACUGUCUCUCUCCUCCUGGGUGAGCCGUUCUUCACUACCAGCCUGCUGCCGUGGCACAACCUCUACUUCUGGUACGUGCGGACCGCUGUGGACCAGCACCUGGGGCCAGGCGCCGUGGUGAUGCCCCAGGCAGCCUCGCUGCACGCUGUGGUUGUGGAGUUCAGGGUAGGCCACCCGGGGGAUGUUGCAGAAAAAAGCAGAGGAGGCAGGUGGGAACCUUGUUUUCUUGCAGGAACCUUGGGUUUCUGUAGAGCGGCUCGGGCCUUGAUGAUUUGAGCUUGUGUUUUCUUUCUGUGUCAGCACACUGUGGGGUUGAAUAGAAGAUGCUUGCCUUUUUAAAAAUGCGAUAAUUUGACAUACGAAAUGGAAAUGGCUGAGUGUUGUCAUUUUACAAUUGUGGCUUAUCAGAAUAAUU